GUCUCAGUUCGGAUUGUAGUCUGCAACUCGACUACAUGAAGCUGGAAUCGCUAGUAAUCGCGAAUCAGAAUGUCGCGGUGAAUACGUUCCCGGGUCCUUGUACACACCGCCCGUCACACCAUGGGAGUCAGCAACGCCCGAAGCCGGUGACCCAACCGAAGGGAGGGAGCCGUCGAAGGUGGGGCCGAUAACUGGGGUGAAGUCGUAACAAGGUAAC
This 217-nucleotide ribosomal RNA is filed under the name uncultured bacterium. Its description in RNAcentral is "partial 16S ribosomal RNA". It matches the Rfam family "Bacterial small subunit ribosomal RNA", at positions 1285 to 1500 of the family's 1533-position model. The record is from RNAcentral.